This is a non-coding RNA of Lactuca sativa (garden lettuce), 1091 nucleotides long. The record is from RefSeq and is a predicted model, not a curated record. Lineage: Eukaryota; Viridiplantae; Streptophyta; Magnoliopsida; Asterales; Asteraceae.
UUUAAGAGUGCGUGUAUUUCACUCUAGGUUUUGUUAUGGUGCGUGAAAUUUUGUUCUUCGAUUUUCUUUAUUGGCGCGUGAAGCCUUUUUUCUUCCGUUUUCAGCGUCUGUGUAGCCCAAUGCAUGUCUUCCAUCCAGCUAGAUGUGGCUUCUUCUAUAAGCUUUUCGAGAAAGCUUCAUACCACUACUUCCAUGACCGCUUCCUCACUAUCUCUAUCAUCUCACCACUGCUUCCGUCUGUUUCACAAAUUGUAGGCGAUGAUUAAAGAGCAACGUCCAACAUCGUUUCCCAUUUUCUUCCUCUUUCUCUCCUCUUCCACCACCGAUAUUCCUAUACCACCGGCUCCCCUCGAAUCAUUGUAGAUGUUUUUUCCACCCACUUCAACAUCGAUUUCCCUCCGCCACAUUUCUUUCUCCUCAUCUAGUUUCACAUGUUAAAGACGAUGAUUGAAGAGCCACGUGUGUUGAUUGCAUCGACUUUUGGAUCUAGGAAACUGGUGAAGCGAUAGAUGUCUCCGUUCACGACUACAUAACGACUACAAGUCUUGGAACUUCAACAAUCAUCAUGCACAAAGGUCAAUCUAGAUGGACACAUCAAGUAAUUCGGGUUAAUGGGGACAUGAUCAGGUAAGCUAUGGUUUUUAGAUGCCAAGGUCAGGUGUUUAAGUAAUUUUGCCUAUUUUCUUUGCUGAGGUGAUCAUUUCUUCAUCUUUCUUUCUUUGUUUCAUGUUCAUCAUGGGUUUUUCAAUAUUUAAGAUAAUUAAAUUGUGCAGUUGGAAUGAUAGAUGGGCUAACUAGAUAAAAAGAGGUAUAUGAAGACCUCAAGAUUUUGGUGACAAAUCAUUCAAUGUGUGGGGCAAUGAUGGACAAAGAAAGGUACUCAAUAAUAAGGGAGUGUGAUUCCUUUGUCGUAAACUCAACCGUGUUGAAGUUCCAGUUUUCAAGCACUUUUCUUAAACAUAAAUACAGUUCUUGAAACAUGAUAGAUAUAUUUAUUAUAGACAAAAUACUUCUGUUUUUACCAACAAUAGAAAUGUGUGAUACAUAUCCUUAUUGAUAAUAGCAAUGCACUUUCAUUUCCUUACCUUUAA